Long non-coding RNA from Cyprinus carpio carpio, 2300 nucleotides. NCBI's taxonomy places the organism in Eukaryota, Metazoa, Chordata, Actinopteri, Cypriniformes, Cyprinidae. The record is from Ensembl.
CCUCAGCUAUGUCUGAGCCACUGUGAUGUCACAAACAUUUUGAGUUUUCCCCUCUUGUACCUCACAGUGCUUUGGUCCUGCUUGAAGGUCUCCCUGCUACACUUAUUGUAGUAAGGCUUUCCUCUGUGUAUACAUAUCCUUACAAGUACAAUUUUAGCUGUAUUAUUUGUGUCCCCUUCAAAAAUCAACAGUGAUUUUUGACAGAGGACAGAGUUCUUCACGAGUACAACCGUUUAUGGAGAGCGAGCAGGUCUACGACGUCCCUCACAGUAAACCCCCAAAAUCCAGCACCAACACGGCGGAGAAAAAACAUUCUCAUCGGCCUGAUGAGAAGCCUGGUUGUGUUGCUGAGGGAAUCGUUCAUCUCUCCUCUGAAAGAGGAGAAGAGGAGGAAGAAAAAGAAAGUGCGCCACUUCAAGUGGCUCUCUUACCGUUUGAUGAAAGAAUUAAAAUCCUACAGGAACCCUUCUGUCCCUUACGAUCAAAAGCCUCUGUAGAUCUGUAGAGGUUAUUGACUACGAGGUUCUUCAAGUCCAAAACACGGAAUAUGUCAGCAUUCCUGAUCAUUCACUAGCCCGUUCCCAAAGAAGUCACCCUGACAAUCCUGGCCAAUAAAAGCCCAGUGAUGGACAUUAUUAGGCUUUUGGACUGGCAGAACCAGCAGAACUUCUACGUCAUGGUCGCCCAGUGUUUCUCGCGCUAAAAACGUGUUUCACUUUGUGGAACACAACAGAGGCAGCACUGGGAAUCCUUCAAUGCUGUAUGGAUACUUUCCAGAUAGUUUCGACUUCUACAGGACCAACAUGAACACCUGGUCCAAACCUGGCUUGACAGAAGGUGAGUCCUUCUCCACAAAUUCAAUUCUAAUACAAAACUUCAUGGGCUUUAUAGGAGAUAACCAUAUGGAUAAUGCAGGAAUUUCUGCACAGAAUGCUGACAUUUGAUCUGCUACCUUCUGCAGCAAAAGCCAGAGCGUCUGCUCUUUUGUCUUCCAGGCAGAAUCAUCCAUCCACUUUAACAUUUUGCAGGGCGAGGAAGCCCUGGUAGUGUUUUGUGCCUUUGGCUUGCGGUAAUAUUAACGACUGGUGAUGUUGCUUGAUGAAGGAUGUGAAAAUUGAUGUACUUUUGUAAAUAAUUGAAGAAUUUAUUACUUCAUCUGAAUGGCCACAGAGCUUCCAGCCAGAGCACUCACAGAGAUCUACUGUUUAGUCCAAAAAAAAAAGUUACCAUAUGUGUGAAAAGUGCACCUAACUAAAACUUAUAUAUUUUACAUUUUAUAUUAACAGAUUGAAACACUGGACAUUAGUCUUGCAGAAAAAACAUUAAUUAAACAAAAAAAAAAAAAACUCAAUCACAAGAUCAAAGAUGCUCUCAGAAGACUAAGAGAAUGAUUUUAUUUUGAUGAUGUUAAAUGAGAUUGAUGAUAUUGGUCAUAAAUAAUAAAAAAUCAAAACAAUUAUUUGUUUUGUUUUGUAUUUCUCAGGGGGGACUGUUAAGUAAUAUCCGCUCCUAUUACAGAAAAGAUGAAUACUUUUCAAGAAAAAGUGUGAACCACAUUAUUCAUCCUGCUACAUUAGAGCAGUGGUUUCAAAACCCUGUUUCUAGAGCUUCAUCAAUAUUGCUCAUUUUGUAUGUUUACCUAAUCAAACACACCUGAUUCAGAUCAUCAGCUCAGUACAGACUCAAAGACCUCAAACGGGUGUCACACAUACUGUAAAAGACAUUCACUGUUUUCACAAAUGCAUGUUUUUGUAGUUUACAGAGAUGAUAAUGGUGUCAUUUUCAAAAACUUGAAGUUUGAAACACGUUUUCAAAAGUUUGUUUUCAGGCCCUCAAAACAUUGUGUAAAUGUAAAAAGUUUUCCAUUUUUAGUUGAAAACAUUGUCGUGUAAAUGCCCCUUAAGUCUAGAAUAAAAAAGUGGAUGGGCUUAGACCAGUUAUAGGCCUGUUUUAAAUUAACCAUUCAGUUGGACAAUAAUGCAAUGAUGAUAAUCUUGGAUAUGUGAGAAAAUCUACAUAAUUUAAACUAUCACUUUUAUAUCAGUUCUUAAUUACUGAAAUCAGCAUAUUUGAGAUAUUAAAUUGAUUUCCAAGGUGUUUUUUUAAGUAAAGAAAGGGCAAUUUUUUCACAUUUUUUCCUAAUUAAAUUAAAAUGUUUGCAUAUCAAAUUCUUACAUUUCAUUAAUGAAUUUACAUUUACAUUGCAAAAUUACAACGGUAUGAAUAAUGUUAUGAGCUUAGUGUUUUAAAUAAUUUUUAUUAUACAAACAUGAAAAGUUGUAAAAAUGCAAUACUUUAAA